This 84-nucleotide transfer RNA is filed under the name Verrucomicrobiota bacterium. Its description in RNAcentral is "Verrucomicrobia bacterium tRNA-Leu". It matches the Rfam family "tRNA". Rfam says of the family: Transfer RNA (tRNA) molecules are approximately 80 nucleotides in length. Their secondary structure includes four short double-helical elements and three loops (D, anti-codon, and T loops). Lineage: Bacteria; Pseudomonadati; Verrucomicrobiota. The record is from RNAcentral. RNAcentral also lists the same sequence under 1 other name.
GCUCGGGUGGUGGAAUGGCAGACACGUAUGUUUGAGGUGCAUAUGGCGCAAGCCGUGGGGGUUCAAGUCCCCCCCCGAGCACCA